RNAcentral lists this unclassified non-coding RNA (240 nucleotides) under soil metagenome. RNAcentral describes it as "partial contains 5.8S ribosomal RNA, internal transcribed spacer 2, and large subunit ribosomal RNA". The record is from RNAcentral.
AACCAUUCUCACCUGCGGCUAGACCUGCGGAGGGAUCAUUAAUGAAUCGCGAGUCGGCCGACCGUGCUGGCGGAGACGCAUGUGCACGUUGGUCCCGACACAUCCACACACCCGUGAACCUAUGGCCUUUGGGUUUUCGAACCCGGGGCAAACCUUUUUUCGCCCACUCCAUUUGUAAAGGAAUGUCUGACGUGCGAAUGUGCGAAAGCAAACAACUUUCAACAAUGGAUCUCAGAUCGG